RNAcentral lists this ribosomal RNA (672 nucleotides) under Pseudovibrio sp. RNAcentral's name for it is "bacterial SSU rRNA". It matches the Rfam family "Bacterial small subunit ribosomal RNA", at positions 28 to 744 of the family's 1533-position model. Lineage: Bacteria; Pseudomonadati; Pseudomonadota; Alphaproteobacteria; Hyphomicrobiales; Stappiaceae. The record is from RNAcentral.
AACGACCGCUGGCGGCAGGCCUAACACAUGCAAGUCGAACGGAUCCUUCGGGAUUAGUGGCAGACGGGUGAGUAACGCGUGGGAAGCUACCUUGUGGUAGGGAACAACAGUUGGAAACGACUGCUAAUACCCUAUGAGCCCUAUGGGGGAAAGAUUUAUCGCCAUGAGAUGUGCCCGCGUUAGAUUAGCUAGUUGGUAAGGUAAUGGCUUACCAAGGCGACGAUCUAUAGCUGGUCUGAGAGGAUGAUCAGCCACACUGGGACUGAGACACGGCCCAGACUCCUACGGGAGGCAGCAGUGGGGAAUAUUGGACAAUGGGGGCAACCCUGAUCCASCCAUGCCGCGUGAGUGAUGACGGCCUUAGGGUUGUAAAGCUCUUUCAGCAGUGAAGAUAAUGACAUUAACUGCAGAAGAAGCCCCGGCUAACUUCGUGCCAGCAGCCGCGGUAAUACGAAGGGGGCUAGCGUUGUUCGGAAUCACUGGGCGUAAAGCGUACGUAGGCGGACUGAUCAGUCAGGGGUGAAAUCCCGGGGCUCAACCCCGGAACUGCCUUUGAUACUGUCAGUCUUGAGAUCGAGAGAGGUGAGUGGAACUCCGAGUGUAGAGGUGAAAUUCGUAGAUAUUCGGAAGAACACCAGUGGCGAAGGCGGCUCCACUGGCUCGAWAACUGAC